Molecule: ribosomal RNA, 333 nt
Filed under: Salmonella enterica subsp. enterica serovar Newport
Lineage: Bacteria; Pseudomonadati; Pseudomonadota; Gammaproteobacteria; Enterobacterales; Enterobacteriaceae
Description: bacterial SSU rRNA
Rfam family: Bacterial small subunit ribosomal RNA
Source: RNAcentral
UUAAUUGAAGAGUUUGAUCAUGGCUCAGAUUGAACGCUGGCGGCAGGCCUAACACAUGCAAGUCGGGCGGUAACAGGGAGAAGCUUGCUUCUCUGCUGACGAGCGGCGGACGGGUGAGUAAUGUAUGGGGAUCUGCCUGAUGGCGGGGGAUAACUACUGGAAACGGUAGCUAAUACCGCAUAAUGUCUUCGGACCAAAGCGGGGGACCUCCGGGCCUCGCGCCAUCAGAUGAACCCAUAUGGGAUUAGCUAGUAGGUAAGGUAACGGCUUACCUAGGCGACGAUCCCUAGCUGGUCUGAGAGGAUGAUCAGCCACACUGGGACUGAGACACGG